CAGCAGCAGCCACGGGAAUACGGAGGAUCCAAGCGUUAUCCGGAAUCAUUGGGUUUAAAGGGUCCGUAGGCGGUCUUGUAAGUCAGUGGUGAAAGCCCAUCGCUCAACGGUGGAACGGCCAUUGAUACUGCAGGACUUGAAUUAUUGGGAAGUAACUAGAAUAUGUAGUGUAGCGGUGAAAUGCUUAGAGAUUACAUGGAAUACCAAUUGCGAAGGCAGGUUACUACCAAUUGAUUGACGCUGAUGGACGAAAGCGUGGGUAGCGAACAGGAUUAGAUACCCGAGUAGUCCCUGUCUCUUAUAC
RNAcentral lists this ribosomal RNA (304 nucleotides) under uncultured bacterium. RNAcentral's name for it is "partial 16S ribosomal RNA". It matches the Rfam family "Bacterial small subunit ribosomal RNA", at positions 506 to 807 of the family's 1533-position model. The record is from RNAcentral.